This 475-nucleotide ribosomal RNA is filed under the name uncultured bacterium. RNAcentral's name for it is "bacterial SSU rRNA". It matches the Rfam family "Bacterial small subunit ribosomal RNA", at positions 30 to 496 of the family's 1533-position model. The record is from RNAcentral.
UGAACGCUAGCGGCAGGCCUAACACAUGCAAGUCGAGGGGUAACAGAGAGAAGCUUGCUUUUCUGCUGACGACCGGCGCACGGGUGCGUAACGCGUAUACAAUCUGCCUUAUACAGAGGGAUAGCCUUUAGAAAUGAAGAUUAAUACCUUAUAGUCUAUUUUUAUAGCAUUAUAUAAAUAGUAAAGCUUCGGUGGUAUAAGAUGAGUAUGCGUCCUAUUAGUUAGUUGGUAAGGUAACGGCUUACCAAGACAACGAUAGGUAGGGGCCCUGAGAGGGGGAUCCCCCACACUGGUACUGAGACACGGACCAGACUCCUACGGGAGGCAGCAGUGAGGAAUAUUGGACAAUGGAGGCAACUCUGAUCCAGCCAUGCCGCGUGCAGGAUGACGGCCCUAUGGGUUGUAAACUGCUUUUAUAUAGGAAGAAACCUUUUCACGUGUGAGAAGCUGACGGUACUAUAAGAAUAAGGACCGG